UAAAUUAUCAGGAAAUUUUAAUUUGAAAGUGAACUAAUCCUUUAACAGUGCUAAUGUCAUGAGUCUGAUGCAGGACAUGAAUUAAAAAUGUAUAUUUAAAAUGUGUGUUGACUUCUAUUUAAAACAAAAAGUAAUUCAGAUGGAGAUUUAUGUGUCUUUAGGGGAGUAUGAAAAUCAAAACACGUAAAAUUGUGUCUAUACAGGUCAGUGAAAGAGCAACUCAGUGCUGCAUGUUUGUGGUUUUGUGUUUUCGCACUUCCUCUGUUAUCUCUCUUCUUACAUCUCAUCUCAUGCGUAUAAAGACAUACUAAGCAAAAUAUACUGCCGAAGAAAGGUGCAUUAACAUGUACUUUAUGUAACAAAAAUGUCCCUUCGAUGCUUGUUGUUGGUCUCCAUCGUUGUGUUCAUCACCACAGAAGCUGUUUCAGAUGGAUAUGUGAUGAAAGCAGUGGGUGAUCGAGUUUCUUUUCGUCCAGACAACUUUGUUCCUCCUGUCACCAGCAUCAUCUGGAAACACAGAAACGCUGGUAAUAUUCCUGUCAAUGUGAUUGAAUGGGUUGAAGGAGAAACUGUAAUCCCGAUUCAGAGAUUCAAAGACAUCACAACUGUUGAUGAGAAGACUGGACAAAUCACUAUCACUAAUCUAAAAGUCGAACAUAGUGGAAUUUAUACCCUUGACAUCAACAGUAAAGAGCAGCAACAGAGAUUCAUCUUGAUUGUUAUGGAAGGGGUCCCCAAACCUGCAAUAAAAAUAAAGUCGAGUGAUAAUCCUGAUGUUGUGUAUUUGAGAUGCGAGUACAGUGAACCGAUCAUCUGGAAGAAUUCUGCUGGAGAAACACUGACGGGAUCGAAAAUCAAUCCGAAAGGAGAGUCCAUCACAGUCAAAAAUGAAGGAAAUCCAGAAAACUUCUACACCUGUACACUGAAGAACACAGUGAGUGAGGAAACCAGUGAUCCGGUCUAUGAGAGAGAUCUGUUUAAAGAUGUAGAUGUGAUGAAAGCAGUGGGUGAUCAAGUUUCUUUUCGUCCAGACAAAUUCAUUCCUCCUGUCACCAGCAUCAUCUGGAAACACAUAAACACUGAUGGAACUGUUACUGUCAAGGCGAUUGAAUGGGAUGAAGGAGAAACUCUAAUCCCGUAUCCGAGAUUCAAAGACAUCACAACUGUUGAUGAGAAGACUGGAAAAAUCACUAUAACUAAUCUAAAAGUCGAACAUAGUGGAGUUUAUACCAUUGACAUCAACAGUAAAGAGCAGGAACAGAGAUUCACAUUGACUGUUAUGGAGCGGGUCCCCAAACCUGUUAUAAAAAUAGAGAAGAGUAAAGAUAACCCUGAUGUUGUGUAUUUAAUAUGUGAGUACAGUGAAACGAUCAUCUGGAAGAAUUCUGCUGGAGAAACACUGACGGGUUCACCAAUCACUCCGAAAGGAGAGUCCAUCACAGUCAAAAACGAAGGGAAUCCAGAAAACUUCUACACCUGUACACUCGAUAACGGCGCAAGUAAAGAAACCAGUGAUCCAGUCUAUGAGAGAGAUCUGUUUGAUGCUUGUUGUUGGUCUCCAUCAUUGUGUUCAUCAGCACAGAAGCUGUUUCAGAUUCAAACAGGAGAUUUGUCAUUUGGAUUGUCAUUGUUUUGAUCUGCAUGGCUUUUAUCCUCCUUUUCCUGUUUAUACCAUCUUUAUACGGUUAUUGUGCUGAUUGCUGUGGGAGACACAAGACGUCCAGAAAAUGACAGUGAUUGACUGAUGCUCAUCAUGAACCUUGUGACUCUUCAAAUGUAAAGAUCUUCUCGACACAUUUGUCUGAUCAUCGGCUCUAAAUCUCAGCUUUACUGAAUCAUCUGGAGCUCUGAACCGUCUGAAUAUUUCUGAAUAUAUGAAUCUAACAUAUGCAAAUACUUUGUUUUCAUAGUGACAAGAUGAGAAUCUCUAUAUAGUCUGUAUUUUUCAGUUUCACUUGCUCUUUCAGUUGCCAUGAAUUCAUUCAAACGAUCAAUGCGAUAUUUUGUCAUAUGAAAGUUUUAUGAAUAUCUCUAUCCUGACCCUUUUAAAGAAUUUAAUUAUGGGAUACAUGAACCUUCUGUAAAAAUGAAAGAGAAGAUAUUAGCAUUUAUUAAUUUUUUUUCUUGUAAUGAUUUGAGUUUCUAUUGUAUUUCUAUAGCUAAUAUUAAUCUUUGCAUUAAGGAUGGUAUUUUUUUUUUUUUUUUUUGGCAAAAUUGUAUUUUCACAAAGGUUUCUUUAAAAAAAAUACCUACUUUUUUAUGCGAAGUAGAACAUUUAAUCAAAUCACUAAGAAUAAUUCAUGAUAAAAUAGGAGAUAUGAUGAAAUCUUUCAUGUACUGUAAAGGUUAGUUUUUUUCUUGUUUUGUUCCUGUUUUUGUCUGAUACUGUUACAUAGUACUAAAAUAAGUGUAUAUAUUUGAUGUAUCUAUAUGCUUUAAACAGAUCGGGUAAAAAUACUGUUGUGCACUGUCAUUUUUC
RNA transcript from Megalobrama amblycephala (Wuchang bream), 2479 nucleotides. RefSeq lists it as uncharacterized. NCBI's taxonomy places the organism in Eukaryota, Metazoa, Chordata, Actinopteri, Cypriniformes, Xenocyprididae. The record is from RefSeq and is a predicted model, not a curated record. The transcript is spliced from 9 exons.